UGGGGUCCUCAGCACAGGAAAGACAUGGACCUGCUGGAAUGGGUCCAGAGCAGGACACAAAGAUCAUCAGAGAGGUGAUGCACCUCUCCUAUGAAUACAGGAUGAGAGAGCUGGGGUUGUUCAGCCUGGAGAAGAGAAGGCUUCAGGGAGACCUUAUAGCAGCCUUCCAGUUCCUAAAAAUAGGU
This is a long non-coding RNA of Neopelma chrysocephalum (saffron-crested tyrant-manakin), 185 nucleotides long. RefSeq lists it as uncharacterized. Lineage: Eukaryota; Metazoa; Chordata; Aves; Passeriformes; Pipridae. The transcript has 3 exons. The record is from RefSeq and is a predicted model, not a curated record.